This 805-nucleotide ribosomal RNA is filed under the name uncultured archaeon. RNAcentral describes it as "bacterial SSU rRNA". It matches the Rfam family "Archaeal small subunit ribosomal RNA", at positions 537 to 1335 of the family's 1478-position model. The record is from RNAcentral.
CUCCUCCGGGAAAUCUGACAGCUCAACUGUUAGGCUUCCGGGGGAUACUGUCAGACUUGGGACCGGGAGAGGUAAGAUGGUACUACAGGGGUAGGAUGUGAAAUCUUGUAAUCCCUGUGGGACCACCAGUGGCGAAGUGCGUCUUUACCAGAACGGGUCCGACGGUGAGGGACGAAAGCUGGGGGCACGAACCGGAUUAGAUACCCGGGUAGUCCCAGCCGUAAACGAUGCUCGCUAGGUGUCAGGGACGGUGCGACCGUUUCUGGUGCCGCAGGGAAGCCGUGAAGCGAGCCACCUGGGAAGUACGGCCGCAAGGCUGAAACUUACAGGAAUUGGCGGGGGAGCACUACAACGGGUGGAGCCUGCGGUUUAAUUGGACUCAACGCCGGAAAACUCACCGGGGGCGACAGCAAUAUGUAGGUCAGGCUAAAGACCUUACCCGAAUCGCUGAGAGGAGGUGCAUGGCCGUCGUCAGUUCGUACUGUGAAGCAUCCUGUCAAGUCAGGCAACGAGCGAGACCCGUGCCCACUGUUGCCAGCAUGUCCUUACGAGGAUGAUGGGUACUCUGUGGGGACCGCCGCUGUUAAAGCGGAGGAAGGUGCGGGCUACGGUAGGUCAGUAUGCCCCGAAUCUCCCGGGCUACACGCGGGCUACAAUGAUUGGGACAAUGGGUCCCUACUCCGAAAGGAGAUGGUAAUCUCAUAAACCCAACCUUAGUUCGAAUUGAGGGCUGUAACUCGCCCUCAUGAAGCUGGAAUCCGUAGUAAUCGCGUUUCAACAUAGCUCGGUGAAUACGUCCCUGCUC